This 253-nucleotide ribosomal RNA is filed under the name uncultured bacterium. Its description in RNAcentral is "partial 16S ribosomal RNA". It matches the Rfam family "Bacterial small subunit ribosomal RNA", at positions 524 to 776 of the family's 1533-position model. The record is from RNAcentral.
UACGUAGGGUGCGAGCGUUAAUCGGAAUUACUGGGCGUAAAGCGUGCGUAGGCGGUUGGCCAAGUCAGCUGUGAAAGCCCCGGGCUUAACCUGGGAAUGGCGGUUGAAACUAGUCGACUAGAAUCUGGCAGAGGGGGGUGGAAUUCCAAGUGUAGCAGUGAAAUGCGUAGAUAUCUGGAGGAACACCGGUGGCGAAGGCGGCAUCCUGGGAUGUGACUGACGCUCAUGUACGAAAGCGUGGGGAGCAAACAGG